AUCCAUCUGAAGAGUUCAAGAUAGGACGAAACACGCGAUCUGGAU
RNAcentral lists this non-coding RNA (45 nucleotides) under Schistosoma margrebowiei. Lineage: Eukaryota; Metazoa; Platyhelminthes; Trematoda; Strigeidida; Schistosomatidae. The record is from RNAcentral.